RNAcentral lists this ribosomal RNA (1015 nucleotides) under uncultured bacterium. RNAcentral's name for it is "bacterial SSU rRNA". It matches the Rfam family "Bacterial small subunit ribosomal RNA", at positions 207 to 1230 of the family's 1533-position model. The record is from RNAcentral.
CCAUAGGUAUGCUUAGGGAGGAGCUUGCGUCACCUUAGUUAGUUGGUGGGGUAAAGGCCUACCAAGACUAUGAUGUGUAGCCGGGCUGAGAGGUUGAACGGCCACAUUGGGACUGAGACACGGCCCAAACUCCUACGGGAGGCAGCAGUAGGGAAUUUUCGGCAAUGGAGGAAACUCUGACCGAGCAACGCCGCGUGAACGAUGAAGUAUUUCGGUAUGUAAAGUUCUUUUAUUAGGGAAGAAUAAAUGAUGGAAAAAUCAUUCUGACUGUACCUAAUGAAUAAGCCCCGGCUAACUAUGUGCCAGCAGCCGCGGUAAUACAUAGGGGGCAAGCGUUAUCCGGAAUUAUUGGGCGUAAAGGGUGCGUAGGCGGUUAAAUAAGUUUAUGGUCUAAGUGCAAUGCUCAACAUUGUGAUGCUAUAAAAACUGUUUAGCUAGAGUAAGAUAGAGGCAAGUGGAAUUCCAUGUGUAGUGGUAAAAUGCGUAAAUAUAUGGAGGAACACCAGUAGCGAAGGCGGCUUGCUGGGUCUUUACUGACGCUGAGGCACGAAAGCGUGGGGAGCAAACAGGAUUAGAUACCCUGGUAGUCCACGCNGUAAACGAUGAGUACUAAACGUUGGGUAAAACCAGUGUUGAAGUUAACACAUUAAGUACUCCGCCUGAGUAGUACGUACGCAAGUAUGAAACUUAAAGGAAUUGACGGGACUCCGCACAAGCGGUGGAUCAUGUUGUUUAAUUCGAAGGUACCCGAAAAACCUCACCAGGUCUUGACAUGCUUCUGCAAAGUUGUAGAAAUACAGUGGAGGUUAUCAGUUGCACAGGUGGUGCAUGGUUGUCGUCAGCUCGUGUCGUGAGAUGUUGGGUUAAGUCCCGCAACGAGCGCAACCCUUAUUGUUAGUUACCAGCACGUAAUGGUGGGGACUUUAGCAAGACUGCCAGUGAUAAAUUGGAGGAAGGUGGCGGACGACGUCAAAUCAUCAUGCCCCUUAUGACCUGGGCUACAAACGUGAUACAA